Molecule: ribosomal RNA, 429 nt
Filed under: Actinomycetes bacterium
Lineage: Bacteria; Bacillati; Actinomycetota; Actinomycetes
Description: Actinobacteria bacterium partial 16S ribosomal RNA
Rfam family: Bacterial small subunit ribosomal RNA
Source: RNAcentral
UAGGGAAUCUUCCGCAAUGGGCGAAAGCCUGACGGAGCAACGCCGCGUGAGUGAUGAAGGUCUUCGGAUCGUAAAACUCUGUUAUUAGGGAAGAACAAAUGUGUAAGUAACUAUGCACGUCUUGACGGUACCUAAUCAGAAAGCCACGGCUAACUACGUGCCAGCAGCCGCGGUAAUACGUAGGUGGCAAGCGUUAUCCGGAAUUAUUGGGCGUAAAGCGCGCGUAGGCGGUUUUUUAAGUCUGAUGUGAAAGCCCACGGCUCAACCGUGGAGGGUCAUUAGAAACUGGAAAACUUGAGUGCAGAAGAGGAAAGUGGAAUUCCAUGUGUAGCGGUGAAAUGCGCAGAGAUAUGGGGGAACACCAGUGGCGAAGGCGACUUUCUGGUCUGUAACUGACGCUGAUGUGCGAAAGCGUGGGGAUCAAACAGG